ACUGAACACAUGCUAAGGUGAAGCUGUCGGAUCGUCUGCUGUCUUUCUGCUGCUGUUGCGCUGCCCGUCGAUCAUUUAAAAGCCUGUACAGCAGCUGUCCUUUUGCCACUUCAUGUUCAUCUGCUGGGUUUCUGAUGCUGGUGAGCUGCAUGUUUUGCUUGUGGCUUGUCGUUGUUUUAAGAGCUGGGAGCAAGUUAGGCAUUUGUCUCGUGCCAACGUUUUUUUGAGCC
Erpetoichthys calabaricus (reedfish) is the source of this 230-nucleotide long non-coding RNA. RefSeq lists it as uncharacterized. The record is from RefSeq and is a predicted model, not a curated record. The transcript is spliced from 2 exons. NCBI's taxonomy places the organism in Eukaryota, Metazoa, Chordata, Cladistia, Polypteriformes, Polypteridae.